Apis laboriosa (Himalayan honeybee) is the source of this 383-nucleotide long non-coding RNA. RefSeq lists it as uncharacterized. The record is from RefSeq and is a predicted model, not a curated record. The transcript has 3 exons. NCBI's taxonomy places the organism in Eukaryota, Metazoa, Arthropoda, Insecta, Hymenoptera, Apidae.
ACUAGCGCAAUCUAUCUUGAAUGUAAUGCAAUGCGUAUAAAAAAUUAUAGUACAAAAAUGUUGACAAAAAUAACAGUUUUAUAGAGAUUUAUAAUUUAAUUAUUUAAUUAAAAAAAAUCUCGGAACAUUUGUAGCAAUAUCUCAAAAUGAUAUUAACCACCUUAUUUAUAAAUAGAACAUUAUUUUACGAAAAAUUAUUUUUUUUGAAAAAAUUAAAAAAUUAAUCUAUUUUGUGCCCAAUUUAAUAAAGUUACAAUCCAUGGUUGCACUGCAAUGAAUACUAAAAUUUUCUAAAAUAUAUUCGCAAAGUUAUUUGCAAUGAAAAAAUUCGCAAUAAAAUUUCUAAAAAAAUAAUAUUUUUAUAAAUUAUAAUGAUAUUUUUU